CAUAAGCUGCAUUGUACGUAUAACAUUAAGUUUUAACCUUUAUGCUGUAAAAGGGAGUUUUAUAUAAGAACAGGAAUGGCAAGCCCUAUCCUUUACUGAUAGGGACAGACAGGAAUGUUUUUGCGAACACCCACUUUGAGGAGUGGUGGUUUAAAACUUUCUAUGAUAAAUACGGCAAAGGCGGCUUUACU
This 191-nucleotide non-coding RNA is filed under the name Sporosarcina thermotolerans. Its description in RNAcentral is "6S RNA". It matches the Rfam family "6S / SsrS RNA". Rfam says of the family: E. coli 6S RNA was the first non coding RNA to be sequenced, but its function was unknown until recently. It consists of 184 nucleotides that fold into an extended hairpin structure with a large single-stranded internal bulge. Lineage: Bacteria; Bacillati; Bacillota; Bacilli; Caryophanales; Caryophanaceae. The record is from RNAcentral.